GGCAAACUCACCUUGGCUUCAUGAGUGAUGUAGUGACCCCCAGAGAAGCUUGUAGGGGAGAAUAGGCAAGGAGAAUGAGAUGUUCAUAGGGAUGUUCAUGGGAUGUUCCCUUUAAAUAAAGGGAAGCCCUUGAGGCAAUCUCAGAGGGGGCUUCCCAACUCAGAGAAAAGGAAGAGCUUGUCAUAGAGAAGCACAGAAUUCAUGACAUCAUCUUAUUGAAAGAUCACAGAAACUCUGAAUUUAUUUCCCAUCAAUAAAGUUACAAAUGUUUUCGUUUCCCCUUGGAAACCUAAUAUGAAUAUGCCGUGGAAUUUGUUUUUUCCCCAGUGAAUUAAAAGGCAUGCGAAGGUUUACUAAAAAGCCAAGUGGUUUGGGGACUGAAAAAGUAGAGAAAUCCUGCUUGAAACUAUCCAUUGCCUAGAAGAGGAUGGACAUGGAGCCCAGUCCUGACUCCAAACACUUCCUGCUUUACUCAGCCCAGGCAGAGGAUAAAGGGCGUGGGCUUUGGAGGCUCCCUCUCUCUGAUGCAGAAUCAGCAUUGAUGGUGUGAGGCUACCUGCUGGGAACAGAGGACAGCUGAAGAAAGAUGCAGAGCUCUGGCAGAGAGUGAGCAAGGCAAGCAAUGGGAAUGACUGUUGCCUCUGGAAGCUGAAGAAAUGUUCAUGGAGCAUUGUGGGUAUUGGCCACCAGGAGCAGUGAUGGGGAUCGGUGACUUGUGUCACCUGGUAUUUUCCAGCAUUCUCUUGGAUUCAUCUUAUUUUUUACAACAGCCAGGUUUCGGGAUUAUUAUCCUCAUUUGGUCUCACCCACCUUCCCAGACCAGAUGAAGCAUGUUUAUCAUUGUAAACAAGCAGUAAAACAAAGAGAAAAAUAAUCAUUUACAACAUAUCUGCUGUGAAAAAGAUGAUAGCUAAAGGCGUUUUCCAGCAUCACUGUGACAUCAGGCUUCUCACUUCUGGACCCAUAAACCCACCAUUCAUUUUUUUUUGAAUACCAAUUAAAGUGUUUUCUCAAGAAUUUUCUUUGUGUUUCUUUGUAACAUUGAAGUUAAACCCAGUUCUCUUAGGAAAUAGUUUCUAGAUCCUUUCCCUUUUUCCUCUCUUGAACCAUUACAACUAACAGUUUCUCUCCAGAAUAACAGUUAAACAGUUUCUCCCAAACUCCUCAUGGAAUGACAGUAAAAACACUAGGGUCCGUCCAUUAGUGCCUCUUGAAUUUAGGGUAACAGGUGCUUGAAAUCUGUGUUGGAGCUUGAUUCCUUGGCAGGGGUUGUGGGCUAGAUGAGGCAGAAUGCAGUGCACAUGUUCACAAAGGCCAGUCUGGGCCAGUAUUGUUAAACUUGCAUGUGUACAUGUUGUCUCCCCUGAUCACAAAGGGCAGGGUUGGUUUCCUUUUUGUCUUUGUAACCUCAUCACUGGGCACAGUGCCUGACACAUCAGCUGGUGGAGCUGGGUGGUACUAUGAUUGGAAGACUGCUAGUCACUGAAUUUCAUUUUGCCUCAGUUUCCCUAGCAAUAAAAUGGGGAUAAUAAUAGAAUAGCA
This 1542-nucleotide long non-coding RNA is filed under the name Monodelphis domestica (gray short-tailed opossum). RNAcentral's name for it is "lncRNA (ENSMODG00000030670.2)". The record is from RNAcentral. Lineage: Eukaryota; Metazoa; Chordata; Mammalia; Didelphimorphia; Didelphidae.